RNAcentral lists this ribosomal RNA (301 nucleotides) under uncultured bacterium. RNAcentral's name for it is "partial 16S ribosomal RNA". It matches the Rfam family "Bacterial small subunit ribosomal RNA", at positions 509 to 809 of the family's 1533-position model. The record is from RNAcentral.
CAGUCGCCGCGGUAAUACAGAGGGUGCGAGCGUUAAUCGGAUUUACUGGGCGUAAAGCGUGCGUAGGCGGCUAAUUGAGUCGGAUGUGAAAUCCCCGAGCUUAACUUGGGAAUUGCAUUCGAUACUGGUUAGCUAGAGUGUGGGAGAGGAUGGUAGAAUUCCAGGUGUAGCGGUGAAAUGCGUAGAGAUCUGGAGGAAUACCGAUGGCGAAGGCAGCCAUCUGGCCUAACACUGACGCUGAGGUACGAAAGCAUGGGGAGCAAACAGGAUUAGAGACCCGAGUAGUCCCUGUCUCUUAUAA